This 407-nucleotide ribosomal RNA is filed under the name uncultured bacterium. RNAcentral's name for it is "partial 16S ribosomal RNA". It matches the Rfam family "Bacterial small subunit ribosomal RNA", at positions 30 to 526 of the family's 1533-position model. The record is from RNAcentral.
AUUGAACGCUAGCGGGAUGCCUUACACAUGCAAGUCGAACGGAGUGGCGAACGGGUGAGUAAUGUAUCGGAACGUGCCCAGUAGCGGGGGAUACCUACGCGAAAGCGUAGCUAAUACCGCAUACUAUUGAAACGGACGAUAUCGGGGGAGCUAGUGGGUGGGGUAACGGUUCACCAAGGCGACGAUCCGUAGCUGGUUUGAGAGGACGACCAGCCACACGGGGACUAGGACCAGGCCCAGACUCCUACGGGAGGCAGCAGUGGGGAAUUUUGGACAAUGGGUGAAACCCGGAUCCAGCCAUCCCGCGUGUGCGAGGAAGGCCUUCGGGUGGUAAAGCACUUUUGGCAGGAAAGCGGUACCUGCAGAAUAAGCCCCGGCUAACUACGUGCCAGCAGCCGCGGUAAUUC